Molecule: ribosomal RNA, 490 nt
Filed under: uncultured bacterium
Lineage: Bacteria
Description: partial 16S ribosomal RNA
Rfam family: Bacterial small subunit ribosomal RNA
Source: RNAcentral
GAUGAACGCUAGCUACAGGCUUAACACAUGCAAGUCGAGGGGGAGCAUGGUCUUAGCUUGCUAAGGCCGAUGGCGACCGGCGCACGGGUGAGUAACACGUAUCCAACCUGCCGUCUACUCUUGGACAGCCUUCUGAAAGGAAGAUUAAUACAAGAUGGCAUCAUGAGUCCGCAUGUUCACAUGAUUAAAGGUAUUCCGGUAGACGAUGGGGAUGCGUUCCAUUAGAUAGUAGGCGGGGUAACGGCCCACCUAGUCUUCGAUGGAUAGGGGUUCUGAGAGGAAGGUCCCCCACAUUGGAACUGAGACACGGUCCAAACUCCUACGGGAGGCAGCAGUGAGGAAUAUUGGUCAAUGGGCGCAGGCCUGAACCAGCCAAGUAGCGUGAAGGAUGACUGCCCUAUGGGUUGUAAACUUCUUUUAUAAAGGAAUAAAGUCGGGUAUGUAUACCCGUUUGCAUGUACUUUAUGAAUAAGGAUCGGCUAACUCCGUG